Molecule: ribosomal RNA, 232 nt
Filed under: uncultured bacterium
Lineage: Bacteria
Description: partial 16S ribosomal RNA
Rfam family: Bacterial small subunit ribosomal RNA
Source: RNAcentral
CGGGACAGGUGAGUAAUGUCUGGGAAACUGCCCGAUGGAGGGGGAUAACUACUGGAAACGGUAGCUAAUACCGCAUAACGUCGCAAGACCAAGAGGGGGACCUUCGGGCCUCUUGCCAUCGGAUGUGCCCAGAUGGGAUUAGCUAGUAGGUGGGGUAACGGCUCACCUAGGCGACGAUCCCUAGCUGGUCUGAGAGGAUGACCAGCCACACUGGAACUGAGACACGGUCCAG